CCCUUAGAUGUUCUGGGCCGCACGCGCGCUACACUGACGAUGGCAACGAGUUUUUCCUUCGCCGAAAGGUGUGGGUAAUCUUUUGAAACAUCGUCGUGCUGGGGAUUGAUCAUUGCAAUUUUUGAUCUUGAACGAGGAAUUCCUAGUAAGCGCGAGUCAUCAGCUCGCGUUGAUUACGUCCCUGCCCUUUGUACACACCGCCCGUCGCUACUACCGAUUGAAUGGUUUAGUGAGGACUCCUGAUUGGCGCCGCCGCCCCGGCAACGGAGCAGCGGACUGCCGAAAAGUUGUUCAAACUUGAUCAUUUAGAGGAAGUAAAAGUCGUAACA
This 329-nucleotide ribosomal RNA is filed under the name uncultured eukaryote. RNAcentral describes it as "partial 18S ribosomal RNA". It matches the Rfam family "Eukaryotic small subunit ribosomal RNA", at positions 1470 to 1796 of the family's 1831-position model. The record is from RNAcentral.